CCUACGGGAGGCAGCAGUGGGGGAUAUUGCACAAUGGGGGAAACCCUGAUGCAGCGACGCCGCGUGAGUGAAGAAGUAUUUCGGUAUGUAAAGCUCUAUCAGCAGGGAAGAAAAAAGACGGUACCUGACUAAGAAGCCCCGGCUAACUACGUGCCAGAAGCCGCGGUAAUACGUAGGGGGCAAGCGUUAUCCGGAUUUACUGGGUCUAAAGGGAGCGUAGACGGCAAUACAAGUCGGAAGUGAAAUACCCGGGCUCAACCUGGGAAAUGCUUUGGAUACUGUAUGGUUGGAGUGCGGGAGGGGUAAGCGGAAUUCCUGGUGUAGCGGUGAACUGCGUAGAUAUUAGGAGGAACAC
RNAcentral lists this ribosomal RNA (355 nucleotides) under uncultured bacterium. RNAcentral describes it as "partial 16S ribosomal RNA". It matches the Rfam family "Bacterial small subunit ribosomal RNA", at positions 338 to 709 of the family's 1533-position model. The record is from RNAcentral.